ACACUCGCCAGUCCCGGCUCCCCGCAUCUGUUCCCGCCGCUGGUUCUGCUCCCAUCCCUCCCUCAGCCCUGGCUCUCCAACACCCACGGACCAUGCAGUUUAUCCGAGUUUUGAAAUUUUCGUUGAUCACAGAAUUUCUCACCACAGAGCGUGAGAAAUGUCUGAUCAGCGUGAGGGCGUGAGAGUUUGCUGAGGGCGUUCUUUUUAACGCUCAAAGCGUGAGAGUUGGCAGCCUUGACGUAAGUUCAGUUCAGUUUCAGUUCAGUUUAGUUUAUUGUCACGUGUAUACCGAGGUACACUGAAAAGCUUUUGUUGCUUGCUAUCCAGUCAGCGGAAAGGCAAUACAUGAUUACAAUCGAUGCAGGAUACAUGAUAAAGACAAUGAGGUUGUCAGUGAGUUGACAGCACCUUGUAUACAUUGCGAGCAGACCCAAUGGACAGCAGGUCUUAUUCCAAGUGAUUGCAAGUAUUAGCCAGUCCCUGAGAAUGUGACCGUGAACUUGUGACAGUGAUGUUGUGACACAUCAGUGAUCUUAUAUUGGUAAGUGGCAGGCGUGACCUUCUGCAAACUGCUCCUCAGCCUGUGGAAGUGGAAUUCUUUGAUCAGAAAUGGUUGCUGAUUCAGUUCCUGGUGCUGCCUAUUCAAGGUCAGGUUUGUUCUGAUUUUGAGUCCACAGUAAGGUAGUGUGAAGAAUUGUGCCCCCAUGCGAAUGUGAUGGGCUGGAGCACCAAAGUACCAGUUGGGCACUGGUUCCUCCAUAGUGUUGAUGACACUUGCAAAGUACUAAAGUAAACUCUGUGCUUUGUAACAGUGAAUAAACAGAUAACUGGACAGUGAAUACUGAGUACUUUGGCAACAUCCCAAUCAUAGAUUUAGCUCCUUAAUCACUGCUGUCUGCUUGUUUUGCUUUCACUAGUGAAUUUCAGGAAGUCGAGGAAACCCAUAAAGAUUAUGUUAAACUUUAAAACCCACAUUAAUAUCCUGUGAUUGAACAAUAAGGAUGACAAAUGCCAGUGUGCCUCUUUAGAGGGGGCUGUGUGCAUGCUGUCUACUGUGAGGCAGUUAAAUGCAGAGGCUGUAGGGGAAGUUGGUUUGGAGUUCUGCUUCUCAGUGGUUUCAGAAUGUUCCUGGAUUGCAGUAGCAACUCACUACCCAACUCAACACUUGCUACCCAACUCACACUCUUCCCCCCAAUUGUAUCAGAAUAUAGUGUAUAGUUGUAUGCACCUACAAAUGCAGAAACAGGUUACCCAGUAAUUCUACCUUUUGCCUGGGUUGUAAUCACAUGUAUAAAAUGCAACAAAGAAAAAAUAACCAAUGUAACUGUUGCACUUUUAUCACCUUUCACAUCCCUGCACAAGUUAACCCACAACGCUUUAUAGCCGGUAAUAUUCUUUGUUGUAAAGUAGGAAAUGCAUCAGUAUCACAUUCUUUAGGUACAGGGAAAUAGGUGGUAAGUUAAACCAACAAGGAAUGCCAUAGGAAACCUGGCAGUCAAUCUGCAUACAGACAGUUCCCAUAGACAGCAACAUAAAUGUGAUUAUGACCAGGUUAUUGCUCCUUGUGCUGCUCAUUGGGGAUAGAUGUUGGGAAAAACUGCCCUGCUCAUCCUCAAAAUCUUUGCAUUACCCCAGGAUUUCAGAGAGGACCCUGUUUUAAUGUUUCAUUCAAACUAUAGCAUUUGACAAUGCAGCACUUCCUUGGAGUGGUCAGCCUAGAUUUUUCUGUGUAGGACUCUGGACUGGGACAUGAAUUUAGAGGCAAGAGAACACUGCUACACAGCCACUACUAGUCUGCUGUAUCUGCAAUAUAUCAGGAAAACCAAAGGCUGAUAGCACUUGUGGGUCUCCAGCCACUCAAACCUGUUCCAUGGUUCAUAGUUAAUUUGUCCUUAACUCCUUAAUGAAACAUUAAGUCUGUUUCUCUUUCCACAGACUUUGCCUAACCUGUUGAGUGUUUCCAGCAUUCUCUGUUUAUAUUACAACGCAGAAGAGAGUCCGUUUGUCCACUGGAUCCCUGAAGGUUUUUUUCAGGGGCAAUCAGUGUGGUUUUACUACACUGCAUUUUCCCUAAUCCUUCAGCAACUUUUUUUCUACUUUGAAUAUUUUCCAAUUCCAUUUGAAGGCUUCUAUUGAAUUUGUUUCAGCCACCUUACAAACAGUGAAUUCCUGAUCCUGACCACUCGUUUCAUAACUUUCUGCUUCUUUUGCCAAUCGCCUGGUCCGAGCCCUCUAGUUAUCAAUCCUUCUGCCUCUGGUAAUGUUUUUGUUUAUUCUGAACAAAAGCCUUCAUGGUCUGGGCAAGGAUGCCUGAAGAUGUCGGUCUUAAAUCCUGAUGAACUGAAGGCAGAUCUUAUCAAGAUUUUAACGGAAGCUUCAGCUCAGAAUGGAUUGUGAAGCUCUCAGCAAGUUUUAAAGCUUUUAACUGGAAGGGAGUCAAACAAUAGCAUUAACUUUGAUCAUCGGAGUGAUACAUACUCGAGUUAAACCAAAAGCUGUUUUUACUUAGGUUGGUAACCCUAGGGCACCAAUUCUCAUUGUAUUCAAAGAACUGUUGGUAUUUGCUGACUAUUGUGGCUCAUUUUGCAAUGGCUUUGAGCACAGUUAUUAAAGUCUUUAAAACACCAACUUGCAUUUACAAAGUGCCUUUAAUGCAACAAGGUGUCCCAAGGUACUCUGCGGGAUUUGUGAGCAGGCAAAACCUGACAAAGAAGCACAUGUGGUGAACAAAGGCUUGACCAUAGUUUUCUGGGAUCGUCUGAAAGGAGGAAAGAGGUUUAGGGACGGUAUUCCAGAGCAGGACACCAGAAGGAUUCUCGACACGAAAUGUCACCCAAGGAUACUAGAUCUUUGAUGUCACCUAUCCAUGUUCUCCAGAGAUGCUGCCUGUCCUGCUGAGAUACUCCAGCUCCUGAGAUACUCCAGCUCCUAGUGUCCUUUUGUGUACCACAUGACAAGAUCAUGUACCACAUGACAAUACUCUUUUCAGCAAUGUUGAUUGUGGUAUCAUCUAUCAAAUGAGAUGUCAAACCAAGACCUGCCUGCCUUCUUGGGACCCAGGCCUCCAGCUACAGAGCAAGGCCAUUGUGAAUGCAAGUGGGUGACUCUGCUCCUGAAUGGUUUAAUGGACAAUGAGGCUCCACCACCUCCCACCCAGUUACUGGAAAAAGACAUCUUCUGCCUACAACUGACUGGAAAGCACCCCUCAGGUCAUGGAGACAGCUGUUUAUCUUCAGUCUCUUCUGGUCGUAUUUGCGUUGAUGUAAUAUAAUUACAUUUUAGUUGCGUUUAUUAUUGCCAUCUGUAUCAUGGUAAAUUAAAAAGCUUUUUGCGAUUCGUGCAAUCUCGUCAAUGAAAAAAAUUAUACAUGAUUACGAUCAAGCCAGUCCACUCUGGACAGAUACGGGAUAAAGUGCAUACUUAGUGCGAGAAAAAGUCCGAUAGCAUAGAAUUAGAAAGAGAAUUAUAAAGUACUGCAGAUGCUGAAAAUCUGAAAUAAAAAUGGAACAUUGUGCAAAAAAUCAGCAGAUCAGGUAGCAUUUAUGGAGAGCGAGAGUUGGUGUAUCAGACUUUCGAUCUUUCAUCACUCUGUGUCUCUUCCCAUAGAUGCUGCCCGGCCAGUCAAGUGUUUGUAGCAUUUUCUGCUUUGACAGCUAAAGAGCACAAACUGACGAUUAGCUGUCGAUGUCCCAACUACAGGAGAGGAUGAGAAAGGAAAUAAAUAUACACAACAAAAUAAUCAAAUAUGAUGAUU
This is a long non-coding RNA of Leucoraja erinaceus (little skate), 3754 nucleotides long. RefSeq lists it as uncharacterized. The record is from RefSeq and is a predicted model, not a curated record. Lineage: Eukaryota; Metazoa; Chordata; Chondrichthyes; Rajiformes; Rajidae. The transcript has 3 exons.